Molecule: long non-coding RNA, 2028 nt
Filed under: Drosophila guanche
Lineage: Eukaryota; Metazoa; Arthropoda; Insecta; Diptera; Drosophilidae
Source: RNAcentral
GCAACAUUCUUAGGUCCAGCAACAUUUGAAGGCGUAUUUUAAUGAAAAUCGGUCUUCAUUCGCCCCACAAAACAAGUAAUGUCUGAAUACAGCAAAGUCCGUUGACAUACAUACACGUAUUAAAAAUACAAAUAAAUAAAUAUAAACAAGUUUUUAAAUAUUUAAUUCAACAACCACCACUUCGUUGAGAAAGGCGUGCGAUAAAGAGUACUUGUGAAAAUUUGAAAAUUUAGCCACAUGAAAAACUGUUGAAUUUUUAACAUAACUAUAAUUUUAUUGUGAAGGACCAUGGACCAUAUAUCAUGCCUCAUUUAAUUUAAAAACAAAGUGUCAAUAAUAGAGAGAGAUUGAUAAACAUGUACAUACAUAUGUAAAUAUAAAUCCAUUGAUAUCGUAUCAGAUACUGAUACGACGGCACUAGUACCGGCUUUUGGAUUACGCGCUCCCUUCUAAGAAAGUCUGUAUUUUUUUGCCGUUGCGGACAAGGAACAAACAUAAAUAUUUUGCUUUUUUUCGGAACUCAGAAAAGUAAUUGAACAAACAAUAUACAAAAAAAAGAGGCAAACAAAAAACAACACCCAAAUAUUUGUACCUGUUAUUGUCGGAAGUACAUACACAGCCUCGAGGUUGCAAGCGGAAGAUUAUACUUGAUUGUGCCGUGACAACGCGAGGGGAGAUUGCGAGCUUUGAACCAAUUUAAGCGAACUUACAAUGCCACGCCCAUUGAAAAUGACUUACGGUGAUCAGAAGCCGCCAUAUUCGUACAUAUCAUUAACCGCCAUGGCCAUAAUACACUCGCCGCAAAAAUUGCUGCCGCUUAGUGAUAUAUAUAGAUUUAUAAUGGAACAGUUUCCUUACUAUCAGAAAAAUACUUCAAAAUGGCAAAAUUCAUUGCGUCACAAUUUAAGCUUUAAUGAUUGUUUUAUAAAGGUGCCCCGCAAUGAAAAGAAGGGCGGAAAAGGAUCAUAUUGGACACUUCAUCCAAUGGCAUUCAAUAUGUUUGAAAGUGGUAGCCUUUUACGACGACGAAAACGAUUUCAGGUUAAAAACAUUAAAAAGGAAAUGUUCGAUUGGAAGUUACCUGCCCCGCCGAUUAAUGGAGCAGGUCCCUACUUAGAUUACAAACGGGUACAAACCGGCUAUACUGAACCGUUAAUACAUAGCCAUAUAAAAGUUGAUAAUCUUUGGAAUUAUAAUGCUUGCCCACCGCUGCCUUCGUUAAGUGUUCCCAACGUACCAACUAUUCGUCCUAAGCGUGCAUUCACAAUUGAAAAUCUCAUUUCUCCAGAUUCUACUUGUACACGACGUAAAAAAUGCGUUGAAAAUGGAUAUAGAGACAAUGAAUAUGUCAAAGAACCAUUAAACAAGACGUACCUAAUUAAUCCAUAUUCUCACAAGUUAAAUGAACAAACAGCACAGUGCAAUGUCUACAUGACAAACAAUUUCCUCAAUAGCCAGUAUGGGAGAUUAGCUUACUAUCCGCAGGCACAUCAGCAUUUGUUAGAUUAUUAUCACGGCCCCUUAAGAUUAUUUUGAUUUGUGGUAUCCAAAAGUGUAUAGCCUAGAAUAAAUUCAAUAGAUGUAAAGAAUAAUUUAAUCAAUAUAAAUAAGUGAAACUAAAUUAUAAUUCAAUUAUUAUGUAUUUUUAACAAUAAUGAUUCGUGCAAGAACUGAAUAUAAAAUAAAUAUCUAUAAAAUGUGUAGUUUGAUUAAUUUUCGAAAAUAGUAGUAUACAUUGUAUGUAGUAUAUAUUGUUUAAAACUUUAUUAUUUAUUCAUUUUUGUAAAGUCAAAAGUAAGGACCAAAAAUUAGGUUUUAUCUUUAAAUUACUCUGAGAUAAAUGGGAACUUUUUGAAUGUACUUUGGCUUAGACAAAAAUAAGGUUGUAGGCCUCGAUGCUUAGAUUAUUUCCUCAUACUUAGAAAUUGCAAAAUAUGUACAUUCCCCAACAAAAUGCAAUCAUCACUGCAAUGAUUUAAUAAAUAUUAUUUUGUAUGACAUAUUUUAAUACGUGAACUCGUUAAUGGC